Molecule: ribosomal RNA, 1432 nt
Filed under: metagenome
Description: bacterial SSU rRNA
Rfam family: Archaeal small subunit ribosomal RNA
Source: RNAcentral
UCCCGUUGAUCCUGCGGGGGAUUGCUGCUAUUGGAAUUCGACUAAGCCAUGCAAGUAUUUCCGAGCAAUCGGAUGCGUAAGGCUCAGUAACACGUCGGUAACUUGCCCUAAGGUCAGGGAUAACCUCGCGAAAGUGAGGAUAAUACCUGAUAGGGAAUCGCUCCUGGAAUGGGCUUUUCCCGCAAACUCGUGCCUUAGGAUAGGCCGGCGGUGGAUUAGGCUGUUGGCGGUGUAACGGACCACCAAACCAAAGAUCCAUACGGGCCAUGAGAGUGGUAGCCCGGAGAGGGACACUGAGAUACUGGUCCCAGCCCUACGGGGUGCAGCAGGCGCGAAACCUUUUCAAUGCACGAAAGUGUGAGAAGGGAAUUCCAAGUGCUCAGGUUUUACCUGGGCUUUUGUUAAGUGUAAAUAGCUUAGCGAAUAAGGGGUGGGUAAGACUGGUGCCAGCCGCCGCGGUAACACCAGCGCCCCAAGUGGGAAUCACGAUUAUUGGGUCUAAAGCGUUCGUAGCAGGUCUUGUAAAUCCUUUGUGAAAUCGGCAGGCUUAACCUGUCGUCGUGCAGAGGACACUGCAGGACUUGAGACCGGGAGAGGUUAGAAGUAUUCUUUGGGUACCGGUAAAAUGGGUUAAUCCAGAGAGGACUACCAAUGGCGAAGGCAUCUAACCAGAACGGUUCUGACUGUGAGGAACGAAAGCUAGGGGAGCAAAACGGAUUAGAUACCCGAGUAGUCCUAGCCGUAAACGCUGCGAGCAAGGUAUUGCGCCUCCCACGAGGAUGCGCAGUGUCGAAAUGAAGAUGUUAAGCUCGCCACCAGGGAAGUACGGUCGCAAGGCUGAAACUUUAAGGAAUUGGCGGGGGAGCGCCACAAGGGGUGCGGCGUGCGGUUCAAUCUAACUCAACGCAGAGAACCUCACUAGGCCCGACGGCAGAAUGAAGGUCAUGCUGAAGACAUUACCUGACAAGCCGAGAGGUAGUGCAUGGCCGUCGCCAGCUCGUGCUGUGAAGUGUCCAGUUAAGUCUGGCAACGAGCGAGACCUGUACCCUCUAUUGCUAACGACCACUACGGUGGGAUCGAGCACUUUGAGGGGACUGCCCUGGAAACGGGGAGGAAGGUGCAGGCUACGGUAGGUCUGUACGCUCCGAAUGGUCUAGGCUACACGCGCGCAACAAUGAUAGGGACAAUGGGAUGCCACCCCGAAAGGGGGAGCUAAGCCUCUAAACCCUAUCCUAGUGCAGAUUGAGGCUUGUAACUCAGCCUCAUGACGCUGGAAUCCCUAGUAAUCGGAUGUCAUCAUCGUCCGGUGAAUAUGUCCCCGCUCCUUGCACACACCGCCCGUCAAACCAACCGAGCAGGGUUUAAGUGAAACGCAGUUUAUUGAUUGCGUUGAACUUAAGCUCAGUGAGGUGGGUUAAGUCGUCACAAGGUC